Molecule: ribosomal RNA, 464 nt
Filed under: uncultured bacterium
Lineage: Bacteria
Description: partial 16S ribosomal RNA
Rfam family: Bacterial small subunit ribosomal RNA
Source: RNAcentral
GACGAACGCUGGCGGCGUGCUUAACACAUGCAAGUCGAACGGUAAGGCCCUUUCGGGGGUCCACGAGUGGCGAACGGGUGCGUAACACGUGGGUGAUCUGCCCUGCACUUUAGGAUAAGCCUGGGAAACUGGGUCUAAUACCGGAUAGGACUACGCGAUGCAUGUCGUGUGGUGGAAAGCUUUUGCGGUGUGGGAUGGGCCCGCGGCCUAUCAGCUUGUUGGUGGGGUGAUGGCCUACCAAGGCGACGACGGGUAGCCGGCCUGAGAGGGUGUCCGGCCACACUGGGACUGAGAUACGGCCCAGACGCCUACGGGAGGCAGCAGUGGGGAAUAUUGCACAAUGGGCGCAAGCCUGAUGCAGCGACGCCGCGUGGGGGAUGACGGCCUUCGGGUUGUAAACCCCUUUCAGCACAGACGAAGCGUAAGUGACGGUAUGUGCAGAAGAAGCACCGGCCAACUACGUG